RNAcentral lists this ribosomal RNA (873 nucleotides) under Triticum aestivum (bread wheat). RNAcentral describes it as "partial small subunit ribosomal RNA". The record is from RNAcentral. Lineage: Eukaryota; Viridiplantae; Streptophyta; Magnoliopsida; Poales; Poaceae.
AUGCACUUUGCCAGGGAGAGGUCAACGAACAACACUGCCGAGUACGAAGGGCUGCUUGCCGGUCUCAGGAUCGCGGAAGAGCUCGGAAUAAGAAAACUCAUCGUCAGAGGUGACUCACAGCUUGUCGUCAAACAAGUCAACAAAGAUUAUCAGAGCCCGUUGAUGGAGGCCUACGUAGAUGAAGUGAGAAAGUUGGAGGAACGUUUUGCUGGUCUACAGGCAGAGCAUGUUCCUCGAGCAGAGAACAACAUUGCUAACAACCUGUCAAAACGCGCUGCCUUAAAGUUAUCUGUGGAACCAGGGACCUUUGUGCUCCAACUAACUCAGCCAUCCGUGGAACCAUCGGCAAAGCAAGAUAAGCGAAGGAAGUUGAGCCCCGGCAAGCAUUUUCCAGCCGAGCUCCCAAGAGCCGCCAGCAAGGAUGCUGCCGGAGACGCCAAGCUGGCCGAGGAGCAACAGUCUCUGGCAGGGCGUCAAGACCUUGCCAUGGAGACGAUCGCUCCCGCAGCAGAAGAGAUGCCUUUAGUCCUUGCCGUCGAGCCUCAGGCUCCGGCAUGGGCACAACAUACCGUUCGAUUUCUCCAAACAGGGGAUCUCCCUGAGGAGCAGGAAGAAGCGGAGAAAGUAGUCCGUCGGUCUGCCAUGUACCAGUUCGUCGACGUCGUUUUGUACAGAAAAAGACCAAACGGCGUGAAAUUGAAGUGUAUUCGCCGGGAGGACGGACUGGGGCUAUUGGCAGAGAUACAUGGAGGCAUAUGUGGAUCCCACAUAGGGUCGAGAGCCCUUGUCAGCAAGGCAUUCCGGCAAGGUUUCUUCUGGCCCACCGCCCUCCAGGAUGCAACUACACUAGUAACCAAGUGUGAAGCGUGUUAG